This 314-nucleotide ribosomal RNA is filed under the name uncultured Treponema sp. RNAcentral describes it as "partial 16S ribosomal RNA". Lineage: Bacteria; Pseudomonadati; Spirochaetota; Spirochaetia; Treponematales; Treponemataceae. The record is from RNAcentral.
GGAGUCUGGGCCGUAUCUCAGUCCCAAUGUGUCCGAUCACCCUCUCAGGCCGGAUACCCGUCAUUGCCUAGGUGGGCCUUUACCUCACCUACUAGCUGAUGGGCCGCAGGCCAAUCUAUCGGCGGAGCCGGAGCUCCUUUCACCGCGGAUCAGAAUCCGUGGUCUUAUUCGGUAUUACCCUGUGUUUCCACAGGCUAUCCCCAACCAAAAGGCAUGUCACCUACGUGUUACUCACCAGUCCGCCACUCUCAUCAGGGGCAAGCCCCUGAAUCCCGUUCGACUUGCAUGCUUAAGACGCGCCGCCAGCGUUCGUU